This 4721-nucleotide long non-coding RNA is filed under the name Nicotiana benthamiana. RNAcentral describes it as "long non-coding RNA (NBEN_LNC032969)". The record is from RNAcentral. Lineage: Eukaryota; Viridiplantae; Streptophyta; Magnoliopsida; Solanales; Solanaceae.
ACACAAAAAACCCCACGAGAGACGCCUGGGAAUGGGGGAAGGGUUGGCGGCUUGUCUUCUUCACAAAAACACACACACACACGAUAAUAUACAGAGACGCUGGAAAUUGGGGAGGGCUAUGCAACUCUUGAACACACACAAUAUAAUAGAAAACACACAAUACAUAUACCAACCUGUAAGAAGAAUUUUGCUGCUUCUGGAGGAAGUUUGAACAGAUGCACACCUAUAUACACAAUACAUAUACACACGCAGAACACACAGUACAAAGGGAAGGGACUCCUGGAGGAUGGAGGCUCCACAUAUUUACUUCUUCUAAACAACUGCACACCUAUACACACAAUACACAUUACACAACAUAGAAUACAAUGCACACAUGCUUAUACACAGGAGAGGGAGAGGCUUGAAAGCCAAUUUUCAUUCGCACACACACAUACAAAGAGUUUAAAAUAAUAUUUUCUUGUUUCAAUGUUCAUUCAUGGAUUUUGUGUAGAGCUCUGUUGGUUUAGCCCGGUUCACCUAUGUUAUCGAGGACGAGGUUCAUGGUUUCGCGUCCGAUUUGCUGUCGUCUUUGUUCAGAUUGUCGCCAUUUGAGGCGAAGCUCAUCAUUUGGUUCAAGGUUCUCUUCUUCGUCCAUUUCUUUUGUUCCUCUUAUGUGAUAAAUCGAUGCUUCAGUUGUGAUAUAAGUUUAAUGUGAAUUUGGAAUUUAUGCUUAGCUGAUUCUGUACAUCUAAUCCUCUGUAGUAUUUUUUUGAUUUUCGAGAAUUAUGAGAUGAAAUAUCGUCAUGAAUCAUUAUCCAGUUGUUCGGAUCAUAUGCAGUUAAAACAUAUCAUUGUGAGAGCUGCUAAUGUGGCCUUUGUGAAUACAUAUUGAGUGUUUGAGUUUUUUUGUUUUAAUUAGUUACCAUUUUUCAUUCGUUCCUUCUUUUCCAGUUUGGAGUUUGCGUGAGUUGAGUUCUGUCAUUUUCUGUUUGUUAGUAGUUUAGGUAAAACUCGUUCUUGGCCCGUUACUUUGUAGCUAGCUAGUGUGAUAAACUAUCAAUUUUAAUGUUAUGGAUUAAUUAACAAGGUAAAUAUUGUUUUCCCUUUUAUUGCUCCAUUACUCCAUCUCGGCCUUUCAAAAUAGUAAAUGAGAUACAGUAGGGCCAAUCCAAAUACACAGCCACAACCAUACCCAAUUAAGAUAGAUUUAUGAGUCACUUCACUAAGAAAACUCAGCUCAUCUUCUUCUUGUUCAACCGAUAAUCAUGGUACUGAUGCAGUCUUAUGAUGCCCGCGUUCAAAAUCAACAUAAAUGGUUGAGCUAUGGAAUUUAAUGGUCAGGUUUCCUUGAUCAGAUUGUCUAAACCUAAACAUGUCAUAUUGCACCUUCUAGCAGAAAUUUCUUUGUUUGAUAUCACGGUGAGUAUAAGGCUAGUCUUUCCGUAAUGGUUUGGUGAGUUGAUUGAUGCACUUGGCAACAAUUUGAAUUUGUUGUUUAUGAAUAGUCAUGAGAAUAGUUGUAUAUCACAUGGAUUGUUUUGAGUAAAAUCACAGCAUAUCUGGUGAAUUAUGCAUCUUUAGCGGAUAGAUAAGUGUUUAAAGGGUCAGUCACCUCUUUCUAGAGUGUUAGUUAAAAUGAAGUUAUGUGCUGGUUUGGAAGUAUUCAUAUUACAACAAUGGGUACGGUUCCUGUGACGUGGUUGUGAUACUUAGUUUUUUUUAGCUAAACGAAACUCUUUUCUUUAGAACUCGAGGUGCUCCACUUAGCAAACUUCCACAGCCCUCGCAAACUUGCAAGCACAUAUUCAUUUUAGGCGUGCUAGUUAAAUAAUUCACUUUCCUAAAUACGGGUGCACAUUUAUGUGAUCCAAAUCCAAAUCUCAACGAAGUUGGAAUGUGUCAAAAUCCACGGGUGCAUUUAAGUGACGUGGUUCGAGGCAUGUGUUAAUGACGUUGCAAUUCUCUUUAAAAUAAUAAUAAAAGCGGUUUAAAGUUAAAAAGCACAUAAGUUGAAACUUAGCGACGUUUCAAUUCUCUUAAAAUAAUAAUAAAAGCGGUUUAAAGUUAAAAAGCAAAUAAGAUAAAAUAUGUUAUAAAAUCAGAUAAUUUAAGCCAAAUAUGACAGUUGAGCGACAGUGCUAGAACCACGGAACCCAGGAAUGCCUAACACCUUCUCCCAGGUUAACACAAUUCCUUACAGGAAUUUUUGGUUCGCGGACUGUUAAACAGAGUCAUUUUCCUCGAUUCGGGAUUCUAAACGGUGACUUGGGACACCAUAUAUCUUCCAAGUGGAGAAUGUGAAAUUCUCUUAAAUAAUUUAAUCCCAUUUCGAUUGUCCUUAAAUUGGAAAAAACUCCCUUAUCUACGCCCUUCACCGGGUAGUAGCGAAAAAGGAGGCGUGACAGCUCUUGCGACUCUGCUGGGGAUCGAAACCACAAUCUCUGGUUCGGGGUUGAAGAAUUCGAGCUUAGAAUAAUUGUUGUGUUUGUAUUUGUUUAAUUUUUUGAUUUUACAUGUUGACUUAAUGUGCAAAAUGAUGCUUUUACCGCUUUGAUACUAUUUGUACUAUAUAUAAACUGUUACGAAACCCUUCUCUAUUUAUCUUCGGGGAUGUGCUCACUGGCCGAGACUCCUUAUUAUGUUAGUGUCAUACCUUAAAAUAAGAAAGAGGCUCAGACAAGUUACAAAGCCGGAUGAUCUUGCGGGUCCCCGGUACGUAGCCCCCUCCUCGACUCGAGUUGUCCGCUCGGCUACACAGUCUAGAACAAAUACCCAGGUGCUGAACUCAGUAUAACAAAACCUCAUGCCAGAUCCCUAGUAGGAACGCUUAUCUGCAUCAUACAUUUGACUUAGGGGACUCAACACAGGGAUUGGUUCCGUCUAGGACAGGUGUACCCAAAAUAACAGACCAUCUUGAUGCAUCCUAUGUGCUACAUGUUGAAUUCGUUCAAGGGCAGAAGGGUCAUUUGGUGGACCAAUGAUAGCCGAGGGUAAAUUAAAAAAAAAAGAGAAAAAAAGAGAAAAUCAAUGAAAAGAGAUGAGGGUGAAGGGUGAAAAUAAAGCAAGUAGGAUUUAGUUAUGUAUUUGUUAUAUUUUUUAUUAAAAAAAGAGACAAAGGAUAUGUGAAAAAUUCAAAAAAAUAUUUCGCACUUUUUAUUAUUUCCUGAAAAUCAAAAAAAAAGGAAAAAGGAAAAAAAAUCCAAAAAGAGUUUACAUGUUUAAUUUUUUUUUUCAAAAAGAGACAAAAGAAAACGUGUUCUUUAAAAAUAAGCAGUUUUUUUUUAAUUUCUUGCCCGUAUCUAAUUUGCCUGAACUACGCAAUCCUGAUUCUCGUCUUUCAGGGCCUGAUACGUAGGCAACCCACAUAGGGUCCGGUUUUCCUAGUGAAUCUUAGGUUCUUGGCUUUGCAGGGUCAUAGCUAAAAUUUUCACUUCUAGCCACUUUUGCCACAUAUGUUAGUUUUAGAAUUCAAAAGUUGUUUGUUUGGAAACUGUGUGAAUUGAGUUGUGUCAAUGGACUCUACUAUUGAAAUUCUUAUAGUUCAAGAUGGAAUUCCCUUGCCAAACUUCUUUUAUGCUGCCGAAAGUUCUAUUGAGAUCAGUCUUUGUUUGUUGGAGUAUUGUUUGGUGAUUUUAAUUCAAUCUAUGAAUUUUUUGUGGGCCAAUGUUUGAAAGAAAAUCCUGUAUUAUAUACCAAUUAUCUUUGUGCAUAACUAUGGAGUUUUGAAACUUGUCUUGUUGAAGUUUUCCACUUUUCUGAAGUUUUUGGAGUAAAUUGAUAGCUAAAAUUCUCCUAGUUUGAACUUGUUACCACUGGUUUCUAAUAGAUGUUAUUAUUGUUGAGUUUAAUAGAGGGGAUUCAGUUGGACGAGAUAUUGAGCAUCUUAAAUUGUGAUUUGGUUGAGCAUACAGUAAGCUUACUCUGCCGAAAUUUUGUGACCAUUGAGAUUUCUGCGCAAGUUUAGCAGUGGUUGUUUGAAAUCUUGUUUUUAGUUCUAAAAAGUUCUCUUUGUUGAAUUGAAUGCUCUUGUAACAUAAACUAUUUCCAACUUGGUUAGCACCUGCUGACAGAAGUUGCAUGUUUGCUGGAAAUUAAUUUACUGCUUGUUUUCUGUUGCUGUAAAGGAUUUCAUAUUUGAUGUUCACAGCCCGACAUUGUUCAUUUUUCGCUCCACAAUGAAGAUUUCCACAUUUCUUUAAUUCAUUGUUGUUACUACAGUUUUUCUUAACAGUUGAAGGAAUUUUGUAAAAGUUUUAGUUUUAGUUAACUCAAAUGUGUUGCUUCAGUUUAUAUGCCAACAAUACACUAUUGACAUUCAAGUUUUAAACUAUUUUUUUUUCUUCGAAAAGUAGAUCCUAUACUAUUCAGCUGUACUUUAUGGUUAUUCUGACUCAAUAUUGCUGUGAUUCUAAUGCUUUGUUUCUACAGUUGAGGUCGUCAUUCUGGGCUAAAAAUUUCUGUGCCUAUUGCUGCUGAAUUUAAUGCUCAAGGUGUUGCUAAAGUUUGAGUUUUGAGAAGCAAUUUAAUAGCAAACCUGCCAGCUUAUUUGAAUUCUAGAAUUUUGCAUUUAAAUGAAAGUUGUUUAUGUAAUACAAGUUUUCUAAACAUUAUUUGUAUUUUUCUACAAUAUUUUGUAAACUUGAAACUGGGUGUGGACAUUAGAACUUGUUUGAAGAAUUUUGAACUCAAAUAAGAGUGUUUUGGACUGUUAUUGAAGGUUGUUGAAACAACCUUCAAAAUUU